GUGAGCUAGUUUCAAGCCAGCCACAUAACCACUCUGCCUCUUUCUUCGCUAAGAUACUAGUUAAAUAUGUUAUAACACUGCCCUGUCAGAGCAGAUUUGCAAGUUAAAAUCUUGCGCAUCUUA
This 123-nucleotide transfer RNA is filed under the name Boulengerella maculata (spotted pike-characin). Its description in RNAcentral is "tRNA-Asp". The stretch from base 51 to 123 matches the Rfam family "tRNA". Rfam says of the family: Transfer RNA (tRNA) molecules are approximately 80 nucleotides in length. Their secondary structure includes four short double-helical elements and three loops (D, anti-codon, and T loops). The record is from RNAcentral. Lineage: Eukaryota; Metazoa; Chordata; Actinopteri; Characiformes; Ctenoluciidae.